AGCGAAACGUUCUGGUGCCUCCGCUCCCGGAUUUGGCGACGCUGUUGCUGUCUCCUGCUGGUUUGGUCAGUAUCUUGGUCACUUCCAAAGCAGGGGCUCUGCAUCGUCAGGUUCUUCUGCGUCAUGGCACAUCGAACAGCCGUUCCUCCGCACUGACCCGGCACGGCAUCGUACCAUGGCGCCCACACCACACUGAUUGUCAUGGCGAGGCGGCGGGAGCUGAACCUUCGGCAAAACGCAUCGCCUUAACGCGCAAGGCAGCAAGGCUACGACUUCUUUGGUGCUCCAUUGUGGUCGCUGCUGCCUAAUUCUGUUCUGAGAAAACAACUUAGGUACUCUUACGGCAUAGCUACUUACCGCGAAUUUAGUAAGAAUUGGGUAGGAAUUGAUGUCAGGCACAGAAGAAAUGUGGAGAAUCGCUAACUGCCCGGUCUAUUAUAUUAGAAAUUAGGGCAGGAGAAGAUAACACAUGCAAAGUCAAUCUGGUUGUCACCGAUCUCUUUUCUAAGCUUUGCUCCGAGGAAAUUAAUUAUUCUGCACAAAGAAUCUAGGGCCGGAAUAUAAUAACACGAGACAUAAUGCUGUUUGGCCAAUUACAAAGGCGGGCGCCUCCAAAGAAAGAAGUGCGGCGGUUUGUUUCGGCAAUAAAAGAGAGCGCGUUAAACUGAAUCGGUGUGCAGUAGUAUAAAUGGUUCAGCUCACUCUGUAAGAUAUACAUGCGAUGAUUGUCUGGGAGAUUUGAUUACCUUGUCGAAGCCACAGCCCGCGUCGAUCUCAAGCACUAGUGCCGAUAAGAUAAAAAGCUUCUGCGGCAAGACGUAUGGAAGAAGGGAAGAUGGAUACGGCCUAUUCGAGAAAUGCAUUCAACACUGCUUGAGUGUUUGCCCCAUGAACACUCUUAUUUGUACGAGAACACUGAAGCAUUUUUAUGUUAAAUUUAUUUAAUGUUACUGUCUAAACGGAAACGUUCUGAAACAGAGUAGCUGGGCUUGAUUUCAAAUCUACGAACUCAGGUGACUGAAUUCUGGAGACUGAAAGGUCGACCACACGUGUUUGAGCUGAAGCUAAAUCAUAGCGAGUUUUAGCGACCUGUUUUCUAAGUUACAUUCCGUAUUUAUGUGCGCUCACUCUACCUUCCUGUGUGUUUUAUUUUAUUUCUGCUAUGAGCGAACUUUAGUACAUUUACGUCACCUGGCUUUAUGUCAGAUUUUGGGUUUUUACCUUUCUUUUGUUCAGUGCCGAAUUGUUGUUUAAUUUUAGUCUUUAUUCAUUCUAUGGGAAAAUAAGUGACCGGGGCUGGCUAAAGAUACCAACAUCUCCUGAAUAUCAAAUUAUCAUUAAAAAACAAGUUUAAGUGUUUGUCUUGUAGGGUAAGGUGAUGCAAAAUGUAUACGGAAUACAAGUCAAAGGAGCCUAUAAGUGGCAACUUUCUUUUUUUUUGCGUUCAUCUGUCCGCUCCUCAUUGGUUGGCUAAUAUGAUGGCGACCCAAGCUGCUUGAACACGCUUUAUUUGCAGCUACCUACAGUUAAACAUGCACGGAACAUCGAGGUGUGCAAAGAUGAAGAAGUGAAGCCUCCGGCUUCUGUUUCUUUAAUUUUUUCAAUGACUUAACAGCCGAAGGGAGGAAUAGUGACGACGGUAUACUUGUGUCGCUCUGCUUGAGAGUCUUAAUCUUUUCUUUUCAUUCAUGUUCUAUUUUGCGCCAGUGUGCACAGCGGUGCAUAUCGCAGCCUGAAGCCGACAAAUAUUGCAAUCUUUUCACGUUCUUAUUCAUCGAAAUAUCCUAUGAGAGAUGAUCCGGACCCAACGUACGAGUCCAGUAGCACGGCGAGUUUUCGCACGGCCACCUUUCAGUGAACUGUUUAGGGCAUGGUUGGA
This is a non-coding RNA of Dermacentor albipictus, 1879 nucleotides long. Lineage: Eukaryota; Metazoa; Arthropoda; Arachnida; Ixodida; Ixodidae. The record is from RefSeq and is a predicted model, not a curated record.